AAGCUUGUAGCUCAGGUGGUUAGAGCGCACCCCUGAUAAGGGAGGUGAGGUCGGUGGUUCCAAGUCCACUCCAGGCCUACCA
This 82-nucleotide transfer RNA is filed under the name Salmonella enterica subsp. enterica serovar Enteritidis. RNAcentral describes it as "tRNA-Ile". Lineage: Bacteria; Pseudomonadati; Pseudomonadota; Gammaproteobacteria; Enterobacterales; Enterobacteriaceae. The record is from RNAcentral.